GUACUCAAUUCGGCAGCAUAUAUACUAAAAUUGGAAUGACAGAGAAGGUUAGCAUGGUCCUGCACAAGGAUGACACCAAAUUCAUGAAGCAUUCCACAUUUAA
Small nuclear RNA from Nycticebus coucang (slow loris), 103 nucleotides. Lineage: Eukaryota; Metazoa; Chordata; Mammalia; Primates; Lorisidae. The record is from RefSeq and is a predicted model, not a curated record.